ACGCACGCUGGCGGCGUGCUUAACACCUGCCAGUCGAACGGAAAGGCCCUGCUUUUGUGGGGUGCUCGAGUGGCGAACGGGUGAGUAACACGUGAGUAACCUGCCCUUGACUUUGGGAUAACUUCAGGAAACUGGGGCUAAUACCGGAUAGGAGCUCCUGCUGCAUGGUGGGGGUUGGAAAGUUUCGGCGGUUGGGGAUGGACUCGCGGCUUAUCAGCUUGUUGGUGGGGUAGUGGCUUACCAAGGCUUUGACGGGUAGCCGGCCUGAGAGGGUGACCGGCCACAUUGGGACUGAGAUACGGCCCAGACUCCUACGGGAGGCAGCAGUGGGGAAUAUUGCACAAUGGGCGGAAGCCUGAUGCAGCAACGCCGCGUGCGGGAUGACGGCCUUCGGGUUGUAAACCGCUUUCGCCUGUGACGAAGCGUGAGUGACAGUAAUGGGUAAAGAAGCACCGGCUAACUACGUG
Molecule: ribosomal RNA, 467 nt
Filed under: uncultured bacterium
Lineage: Bacteria
Description: partial 16S ribosomal RNA
Rfam family: Bacterial small subunit ribosomal RNA
Source: RNAcentral